Molecule: ribosomal RNA, 406 nt
Filed under: uncultured bacterium
Lineage: Bacteria
Description: partial 16S ribosomal RNA
Rfam family: Bacterial small subunit ribosomal RNA
Source: RNAcentral
AUUGAACGCUGGCGGCAGGCUUAACACAUGCAAGUCGAACGAGUGGCGGACGGGUGAGUAAUGUUUGGGAAUCUGGCUGAUGGAGGGGGAUAACUACGGGAAACUGUAGCUAAUACCGCGUACCAUAGGAUGAGCCCAGAUGGGAUUAGGUAGUUGGUGGGGUAAAGGCUCACCAAGGCGACGAUCUCUAGCUGGUCUGAGAGGAUGACCAGCCACACUGGGACUGAGACACGGUCCAGACUCCUACGGGAGGCAGCAGUGGGGAAUAUUGCGCAAUGGGGGCAACCCUGACGCAGCCAUGCCGCGUGAAUGAAGAAGGCCUUCGGGUUGUAAAGUUCUUUCAGCGAGGAGGCGUUACUCGCAGAAGAAGCACCGGCUAACUCCGUGCCAGCAGCCGCGGUAAUUC